RNAcentral lists this small nucleolar RNA (122 nucleotides) under Echinops telfairi (small Madagascar hedgehog). RNAcentral describes it as "Small nucleolar RNA SNORA61 (ENSETEG00000025631.1)". Lineage: Eukaryota; Metazoa; Chordata; Mammalia; Afrosoricida; Tenrecidae. The record is from RNAcentral.
CCCCUUUGAAUUCCUUGUCCCUCCGAUCUAAAUAUUGGUCUGAGUGGCUAAAAAAGAAAGAGAAAGUAAAACUGAAGUGGACUUGGAGUCUUUAAUAACUUACAAGUUCAUUUCAAACAUAG